UCUCGCAAGAGACGGCUGAGUGGCGAAUGGGUGCGUAACACGUAGGUGACCUGCCCAGAAGUGGGGAAUAACAGUCCGAAAGGACUGCUAAUACCGCAUGCGGUGCGAGGGUUUUGAAGCCUUGUACCAAAGGUAUCCGCAAGGAUGCCGCUUCUGGAGGGGCCUGCGGCCCAUCAGCUAGUUGGUAGGGUAACGGCCUACCAAGGCGACGACGGGUAGGGGACCUGAGAGGGUGACCCCCCACACUGGCACUGACACACGGGCCAGACUCCUACGGGAGGCAGCAGUCGGGAAUAUUGCACAAUGGACGAAAGUCUGAUGCAGCAACGCCGCGUGCGCGAUGAAGGCCUUCGGGUCGUAAAGCGCUUUUCGGGUGGAUGAGAAGGGACAGUACACCCGGAAUCAGGAACGGCUAACUACGUGCCAGCAGCCGCGGUAAAACGUAGGUUCCGAGCGUUAUCCGGAUUUACUGGGCGUAAAGCGCGUUCAGGCGGUUUGGCAAGUCGGGCAUGAAAUCCUUCGGCUCAACCGGGGGAGGUUGUCCGAUACUGCUAAACUGGAGGGCAGUAGAGGGUGGUGGAAUUCCGGGUGUAGUGGUGAAAUGCGUAGAGAUCCGGAGGAACACCAGUGGCGAAAGCGGCCACCUGGACUGUACCUGACGCUGAAACGCGAAAGCUAGGGGAGCGAACGGGAUUAGAAACCCCGGUAGUCCUAGCUAUAAACGAUGUUGACUAGGUGUGGACGGUCUAAACCCCGCCCGUGCCGGAGCAAACGCAUUAAGUCAACCGCCUGGGGACUACGG
RNAcentral lists this ribosomal RNA (802 nucleotides) under uncultured Chloroflexota bacterium. RNAcentral describes it as "bacterial SSU rRNA". It matches the Rfam family "Bacterial small subunit ribosomal RNA", at positions 75 to 885 of the family's 1533-position model. Lineage: Bacteria; Bacillati; Chloroflexota. The record is from RNAcentral.